Molecule: long non-coding RNA, 343 nt
Filed under: Olea europaea (common olive)
Lineage: Eukaryota; Viridiplantae; Streptophyta; Magnoliopsida; Lamiales; Oleaceae
Description: long non-coding RNA (OEUR_LNC002838)
Source: RNAcentral
UUAGUGGGGAUGAUUAUAUUGAUGAAAACUCUCAUGAAACCAUGAAUUUGAGAAACAAUAUGAAAAUUAAAAUAGGUGGAAUUAUUGUUACUAGUUUUCAUUAGAUUGGAAGGUAUAAUUAUUUUUAUGAGUGGGAUGAAGGUAAAUUUGGAUGUAGUAUAUAUUUGUGAAGGUAUUAGAAAGUAGAAUUAGCUCUUAUUGAUUAAAGGAAAAUUUGGAAAAAUUAUUCAAAGUAUCGAGAAGUCAAGUUUUAGUAUUCGACUAUUAAUAUUAAGAAAUACUUAGUACGAGAUUUGUUAAAUUAGUUAUUUUACAUCGUAUUUCAGGCGGUGACGUGAAAGCU